UAUUGGGCGUAAGGGCUCGCAGGCGGUUUCUUAAGUCUGAUGUGAAAGCCCCCGGCUCAACCGGGGAGGGUCAUUGGAAACUGGGAAACUUGAGUGCAGAAGAGGAGAGUGGAAUUCCACGUGUAGCGGUGAAAUGCGUAGAGAUGUGGAGGAACACCAGUGGCGAAGGCGACUCUCUGGUCUGUAACUGACGCUGAGGAGCGAAAGCGUGGGGAGCGAACAGGAUUAGAUACCCUGGUAGUCCACGCCGUAAACGAUGAGUGCUAAGUGUUAGGGGGUUUCCGCCCCUUAGUGCUGCAGCUAACGCAUUAAGCACUCCGCCUGGGGAGUACGGUCGCAAGACUGAAACUCAAAGGAAUUGACGGGGGCCCGCACAAGCGGUGGAGCAUGUGGUUUAAUUCAAAGCAACGCGAAGAACCUUACCAUGUCUUGACAUCCUCUGACAUCCCUAGAGAUAUGGCUUUCCCUUCGGGGACAGAGUGACGGGUGGUGCAUGGUUGUCGUCAGCUCGUGUGCUGAGAUGUUGGGUUAAGUCCCGCAACGAGCGUUUCCCUUGAUCUCAUUUGCCCGCAUUCCCUUGGGGGCUCUAAGGUGACUGCCGGUGCAAACCGGAGGACGGAGAGGAUGACACACUUCCUACUGUCCCUUACGAGCCUGGGCUACCACGUGUCUA
This 673-nucleotide ribosomal RNA is filed under the name Bacillus sp. (in: firmicutes). Its description in RNAcentral is "bacterial SSU rRNA". It matches the Rfam family "Bacterial small subunit ribosomal RNA", at positions 552 to 1227 of the family's 1533-position model. The record is from RNAcentral. Lineage: Bacteria; Bacillati; Bacillota; Bacilli; Caryophanales; Bacillaceae.